ACAGCAGUCGCCACGGGAAUACAGAGGGUGCGAGCGUUAAUCGGAUUUACUGGGCGUAAAGCGUGCGUAGGCGGCUUCUUAAGUCGGAUGUGAAAUCCCUGAGCUUAACUUAGGAAUUGCAUUCGAUACUGGGAAGCUAGAGUAUGGGAGAGGAUGGUAGAAUUCCAGGUGUAGCGGUGAAAUGCGUAGAGAUCUGGAGGAAUACCGAUGGCGAAGGCAGCCAUCUGGCCUAAUACUGACGCUGAGGUACGAAAGCAUGGGGAGCAAACAGGAUUAGAGACCCCAGUAGUCCCUGUCUCUUAUAC
This 305-nucleotide ribosomal RNA is filed under the name uncultured bacterium. RNAcentral describes it as "partial 16S ribosomal RNA". It matches the Rfam family "Bacterial small subunit ribosomal RNA", at positions 505 to 807 of the family's 1533-position model. The record is from RNAcentral.